Molecule: unclassified non-coding RNA, 1860 nt
Filed under: Amphibalanus amphitrite
Lineage: Eukaryota; Metazoa; Arthropoda; Thecostraca; Balanomorpha; Balanidae
Description: broad-complex core protein-like, transcript variant X19
Source: RNAcentral
UUUAUAUAUUUUCGACUAAUGUUCAUGUCCAAGUUGAUUUCCAAUUCCUAAACCUUGAUGACGGCGUCGCGGCGUGGUUCCAUUGUUUGUCACCGAAUUUGAAUUUUUGCUGUCGGCAUUUGUAAUUUGGACAAUGGAUUCACAGAAGUUCUGCUUGAAGUGGGAUGGCUUCCAAGGCAGCGUCACCUCCGUGUUUGAUCACCUGAGGGCGGACUCGGAACUGGUGGAUGUCACGCUCUGCUGCGAGGGACAGCGGGUGCGAGCCCACAGGAUGAUGCUCUCGGCCUGCAGCCCUUACUUCAGGGAGCUGUUCAAGGAUCUGUCAUGCCAACAACUGGUCAUCUUUCUCAAAGACACCUCAGCUGCCGAUCUCACUGCAAUAGUGGAGUUUAUGUACAAGGGGAAGGUGAACGUGUCACAGAGCCAGCUGGCCAGCUUCAUCAAGACAGCAGAGAUGCUGCAGGUUCAGGGACUCAGCGGUGGUGAUGACAAGGACCCACCGCCAUCGCCUGCCCCUCCCCCACCCCCACCACCGGAACCAGCCCGCGCCUGGAGUCAGCAGCAACCCCAGAGCCCCGCCGCCCUUCGCCGUGCCACCGACACUGCAUCGCCGUCCGAGCCUCGUCUCAAACGGCGCCGAUCCGACCUGCCUCCGCCGCCGCCUAUUGAGAGGAAGCCGCCGACGCCCCAGCCGCAGCCGCAGCCGCCUCAGCCGGGCCCUGCGGCAGCGGUGGGGACUCCGGCGGGAGGUCAGGUUGGGGUACAGCCCCCGCCGGAGGAUGAGGCGGCUAGGGAUCAGCCGGCGGGCAUGUUUGAGGGCGCGGUCAAGGUGGAAAAGUUUGACGUCGAUCUCACGCUAGACGACGAUGAAGACACGACUGGAGCCGGUGACGAACUGGAGGCCGCACUCGGCAAUGUAGCUCAGUACGAAGGCUACGACCCGGGCUCCGAUCAGUCACUGAGUGCGGAUGGACACAUGUUCGGAGCUGGAGGCAGCGGCGAGGGCGCCAUGGGAGGAGCAGCCGGCGGACCGUACACCCCGGGCACCUCACAGCGCGCUGGAGAGGAUGGGUCACAAGAUGUGCUAAGGCCACAUCGAUGUCAUAUCUGUGGCGCUUCAUACGCCAUCCAAAACAGCCUCGGCAAGCAUAUGAAGGUGCAUUCGGGAUUGACCAUGUGUCCUGUAUGCAGCCAGAUUUUCUCCAGCAUGUUCAACCUCAGAAGACACAUGAUGGAUUUGCAUCAGAUGGAUAAGAAUGCUGUGUUUGAGAUGACCAGAGAGAAGUAGAGUGGCGUAGUUGGUUGGGGCGCACGGGUGGAGUGUGGAAGGACUAGGGUUCGAUUCCCUGCGAGGUCACCUGACAGAGUUGUAGGCUGGUUGUAGAUGUACAACCGUAGUUGUAGUGUCUACAACUACAACUACCGUGGUUGAAGACAGCAGUGAGCUCGCGAGUGAUGGUGACUGGCUGUUACCGAUCUCCCUUUGUGGGUGGAUAGCUUAACUGGGGCGUGCCCCCAUGUCCUUGUGUGCGGUCCAUACGCCUCAAUCUUGUGUGGUUAGCCUCAGUUCCAUCACCGAUUACCUACGAAAGACAUGCUGGGUAUUUGGAAUAAGUUUGAGUUGUGCUGAGCAGUACGGUGGCAUGACGUCUUGAUGUCUUAGGCAUUUGUGCUUUAUGAUAAUUUUUGUUUUGUUUUUAGAAAGACAGGUUUUUAGAAAGAAAAGAUGCUAUCGUCCAAGCGAUCACACUCGUGUGAUUUGUCGACCACAGGGGAUUUCGCACUUUGCGCCUGUGACGUGACUUCGUGCUGUUUCAAAGUUAUUGACUUGGUUUUUCUCGUCAGUCGGUCUUCUGCUCC